UGAGCUGCACGCGGUUGAUGGUUAAGAAGAGCUUGGCUAAUUCAGUCAGCUUGGUUCUCUCUGCCCUGCUCUGACUGACAGGCCAGGCCCCUGCUCAUCCCUGAAAACUAGCAUCAGGGAAUGACAUACAGUUUGAUAACAUAAGAUGCUUAGGUUUUUUGGCUCAAGUGAGAUGUUCAGAGCUAAUAGCCCUGUGAGCUGAGUUUUAGCUGCGAUCUGCACCUUGAGAUAUCCGUUAUGUCUGGCUCAGGAAAAAGGGGAAAGAAUGAGAGCUUAUUUCUAGAAAGGUUUCCGAUGAGCAGCAUUUGUCAUUGAAGGGGAAGAUGGGUAUAAUUAGCUUGUCAGUCUAGUUUGGGCUGAGCAGGCUGUCUCUGCUAAGAAAGAUGGACUAACUGCCAGAGCCACUGACAGGCAGUCGAUAGCGCAGCAAUUAAUGUCAUAAAUAAUUCCAGAACCAAUUACAUCAAAAUGGACUCGGAGCUUUAAAAAGCAACAGAAACAUGAGGUCGGUCCAGCCUGGGGCAGUUUCUCUCCAAGAGAAGAUGGAGGAAGCACAGCUAAGUGACUGGAAAUUUGACAUGCCUUCAUGUCAAGAGAUACCUGUACCUCUUGGAAACAACAAGCCCUUUGUGGUACCUCAGUGGGAUCAUCAGUGGGGCAUGGCCCUCUCUUGGACAACGUUCUCAUGCUGCUUUGCAAAGAGAAUAUAUAACAGGAUUUGUACAGAAUCCCAUUUCUCAUUUCCUCAAGGUCCAAUCCUCACAAGCCAGGACUAUUCAAGCACAUCCCAUAGUCAACCCAUUAUACAGUGGCCCAGUUAAGCUGAGCUAUUGGUUUUCCUACAACUUUUCCUUCCAUAGAUCUUUGUGAAAGCUUGAACAUUAAGCUUUGUGAAAUGACUCUGAUUCUUCAUUAUCUCUAUAUCUUGCUCAAUGAAGGACAUGCGAUCCUGGAACUGAUUCUAGAAUCCAUUUCAAAAACAAGGGAAGAGAGAGUAAAUGACUGCAAGCAAUAUAUCCCUGAAGUUUCUUCAUUCCCAAGAGGAUAUUUUUACCAGAUGAAGGAACCGUAGAUUACUGAAAUUGGGAAAAGCCAUGGAUAAGAUCCUUGAACAAGAAGUAAAGAUCGAGCCCCAUAGAGAUUGCAUGACUUGCCCAAGGUCAUAGUUUGUUAGUCUCAGAGAAGAAACAAUGCAUUUUUCUAAAAUAGGAUGCUUCUCACAUUUUAGUCUUUUAGCAAAUUUAACCUUCCAUACAGCUGUUGAGAUAACCUACUGGUUUUACAAGCUAAAUCAACACAAGGGACAUCGCUCAGAAAAUGCCCCCAGACUGCCUCCCUUUUCAUUAUUGAAAACCACGAGAUGAAAGUCUUUAAUAACUUACUGCACAAGAGGACCAUUACUGUCAGCAUAUACCACUCAGCCAUAUAUUAUAGCUUUUUACUUCUCCACACAAAAUUGCUUUGAAAUUUACAUUUGCUAUAAAGGAUUUAAGUCCAUCACUAUUAAUUUUCUUCUACAAAUUAUGUUUAAUUAUCACCUCUUUCUACCUAGGAAGAAGCCCCUCUUGUACUGCCAUCUCCAUAUAGCUCUCAAGAAGAGUGUCCUCAGCAUGAAUCUUUGAUGGUGAUUUUAUACUCCUUACUUGCCCUUCCUUGUCAAGCGCACACAGCCCACUUAGAGAUAUGGAAAUGAACUCUUUGCCUGGC
RNAcentral lists this long non-coding RNA (1707 nucleotides) under Bos indicus x Bos taurus (hybrid cattle). RNAcentral describes it as "lncRNA (ENSBIXG00005013958.1)". Lineage: Eukaryota; Metazoa; Chordata; Mammalia; Artiodactyla; Bovidae. The record is from RNAcentral.